GGCCCUGAUGAUAACGGUGUCUCUUCUUUCCUCGUCCGAUUCGACCAUGACGACAAGGGAUUUUAUCUCGUUCUCUUAAUGCGGAUGGUUUUGGAAAGGUAGAUAUUGCUUCGGUGAUGUUUGUCCAUUUUUUAAUCAUUUGCGUUUGCAAACGGGAACUUUUCUUGCCAGUGUUAUACAACACAUGCAGAUCUGAGCC
Molecule: small nucleolar RNA, 199 nt
Filed under: Saccharomyces paradoxus NRRL Y-17217
Lineage: Eukaryota; Fungi; Ascomycota; Saccharomycetes; Saccharomycetales; Saccharomycetaceae
Description: Small nucleolar RNA snR190
Rfam family: Small nucleolar RNA snR190
Source: Rfam by way of RNAcentral